Molecule: ribosomal RNA, 484 nt
Filed under: uncultured bacterium
Lineage: Bacteria
Description: partial 16S ribosomal RNA
Rfam family: Bacterial small subunit ribosomal RNA
Source: RNAcentral
AUUGAACGCUGGCGGCAUGCUUUACACAUGCAAGUCGAACGGCAGCGCGGGCUUCGGCCUGGCGGCGAGUGGCGAACCGGCGCGUAAUGCAUCGGAACGUGCCCAGUAGUGGGGGAUAGCCCGGCGAAAGCCGGAUUAAUACCGCAUACGACCUCCGGGUGAAAGCGGGGGACCGAAAGGCCUCGCGCUAUUGCAGACACCGAUGUCGGAUUCGCUAGUUGGUGGGGUAAAGGCUUACCAAGGCGACGAUCCGUAGCUGGCCUGAGAGGACGACCAUGCACACUGGGACUGAGACACGGCCCAGGGGCCUACGAGGGGACGCAGUGUGGAGGGUUGGACAAUGGGGGCGGGCCUGAUCCAGCCAUGCCGCGUGCCGCAAUGUGGAGGGGGGGUUGUAAACCGCUUUUGUUCGGGAAGACAGAAGAGGGGCUAAUACCCCGGGAGAAUGACGGUACCGGAAGAAUAAGCACCGGCUAACUACGUG